CAAAAAAGCGCUUCAUAUUUACGGCUCCUUAUAACUUCAAAAGAAUCUGGUAGAAACGAUGGGAUGUGACAUCAAAGACUAUGUCACAGUAACAUUGUGACUUCUUCUUUGUGGAUUGUUUACUUUGGAGGAAGCCAUCCUAGCAGUGAAUGGAAACACACAUAUGGGGAGAAACUAAGGCUCCCUACUAAAAACGUGCAACAUGUGACUGGGACAUCUUGAAAUACGUUGUGAACUUCCCAGCACAUCUGUUAGAAAGGAGGUCCAGAAAAAGAGCACAAAGAGAAUGGUCUGUAUUUAAAGAUGUAACAGCUGAGAAAGCACAGUGUAAUUUUCAAGAAAAUGACUGUAGCCAUUCUGCUUGGGCUUACAUCUAUCAUUGCUAAUCACUGUCGGAAAAACUUUGGGCAAAUGACUUAACAUUUCUGUUCCUGUAUUUCUUCAUCUGUAAAAUAAGAAUAAAGGUUGUUACGAUGAUUAAAUGAGCUAAUAUGUAUAAAGUACUUAGAAUAGGGUCUGACACAUACAAUGCACCAUGUAUGUUUUUGCUAGGUAAAAACAAAUACAUUAAU
RNAcentral lists this long non-coding RNA (572 nucleotides) under Homo sapiens (human). RNAcentral's name for it is "HSALNT0333540". Lineage: Eukaryota; Metazoa; Chordata; Mammalia; Primates; Hominidae. The record is from RNAcentral.